UACAGAGGUCUCGAGCGUUGUUCGGAUUCAUUGGGCGUAAAGGGUGCGUAGGCGGCGCGGUAAGUCGGGUGUGAAAUCUCGGAGCUUAACUCCGAAACUGCAUUUGAUACUGGCGUGCUUGAGGACUGGAGAGGAGACUGGAAUUCAUGGUGUAGCAGUGAAAUGCGUAGAGAUCAUGAGGAAGACCAGUGGCGAAGGCGGGUCUCUGGACAGUUCCUGACACUGAGGCACGAAGGCCAGGGGAGCAAACGGG
RNAcentral lists this ribosomal RNA (253 nucleotides) under uncultured bacterium. Its description in RNAcentral is "partial 16S ribosomal RNA". It matches the Rfam family "Bacterial small subunit ribosomal RNA", at positions 524 to 776 of the family's 1533-position model. The record is from RNAcentral.